UUCCGGUUGAUCCUGCCGGAGGCCAUUGCUAUCGGAGUCCGAUUUAGCCAUGCUAGUCGAGCGAGGUUAGCCCUCGCGGCGAACAGCUCAGUAACACGUGGCCAAGCUACCCUGCAGAGGGGGACAGCGUCGGGAAACUGACGGGAAUCCCCCAUACCGGUCUCACGCUGGAAUGCCGAGACCGACAAACGCUCCGGCGCUGCAGGAUGCGGCUGCGGCCGAUUAGGUAGUCGGUGGGGUAACGGCCCACCGAGCCGAUAAUUGGUACGGGGUGUGAGAGCACGAGCCCGGAGACGGAAUCUGAGACAAGAUUCCGGGCCCUACGGGGCGCAGCAGGCGCGAAACCUUUACACUGCACGAACGUGCGAUAAGGGGACUCCGAGUGCGAGGGCAUACAGUCCUCGCUAUUGUGUACCGUAGGGUGGUACACGACCAACAGCUGGGCAAGACCGGUGCCAGCCGCCGCGGUAAUACCGGCAGCUCGAGUGAUGGCCGAUUUUAUUGGGCCUAAAGCGUCCGUAGCUGGCCCUGCAAGUCCGUCUGGAAAUCCUCUCUCCUAACCAGUGGGCGUCCGGCGGAAACUA
Molecule: ribosomal RNA, 584 nt
Filed under: uncultured archaeon
Lineage: Archaea
Description: bacterial SSU rRNA
Rfam family: Archaeal small subunit ribosomal RNA
Source: RNAcentral